Molecule: non-coding RNA, 1206 nt
Organism: Zootermopsis nevadensis
Lineage: Eukaryota; Metazoa; Arthropoda; Insecta; Blattodea; Termopsidae
Source: RefSeq, a predicted model, not a curated record
AACUGGUGCACCGACAGCGUGGCGUUAUACGGCUCUACCACCGUGUCCGACACCUGCAAGCAUACGCCACACAACUUGCCAACCCAGCAACAAACAAGCAAGCAAACAAACAAGCCUAGGACAGGGACCGAAGGAGGGCUUUGGUUAAUUCGGUGAUGAACCUUUGGGUUCCUGAAGCCAUCAAGUUAGUUAGUUUAUAAAACCUGAGACACAUCAAGACAUCUAAAUCAAAUAACUUUACCAAUCAGUAGUAAUAUCCUGCAUGUUCAAAUGGCAACUGAAAGGUGCAGAUUGUUGUACAGUGGAAUUAAAUUAUAAAGACAUCCAAAAAGACUCUUCAGCACUCAUUGCCUGUAAUUUUCUGGUGUCUGAUAUUACUCAGAUACCAAGUGACAGGACAAACUCAGUUUCAGCCUUUAGUAGCUUCAGUUACUGAAAGUGGUUUGACAAAUUAUUUAAUUAAAUAGGUUCCUAUACUGUAAGAAUCAGUGGAUUAAAGAAAGCACAAUCAUUUCACAUUUGCAAUAACAGACAUAAUAGCAUCCUACUCAAGCUAUUACAAUAACAAGGCUUUUUUUUUUGUUCCUUCCAUGAAUCGGCAUUAAUCAGAUUUUGCACGACUACUCUUAUAUUAUGUGAAAUUUCUCACACAUUUUUCUUCCAUUCUAGAGUGAAAGGAAUGGGGAAAGAGGAGAAAAUUGCACUCAAAAUUAUUGCAGUUCAACAACAAACAUAAUGUAACUUAUUUAUUAACAAAUUUAUUAUGUGUACAUGCAGUUCCAUUCCCAGAUGUGUGAUUCCAGAUGAAAAUAUAAACCAAUUAAUCAAAUAAUGCUAUUGAGAACAAUAUGUAUAAUUACAGCAUGUGGUAAUUAAUUUUAAGUCACACUACAAGCAUAUUUAUGACAGUACUGGGAUCAUGUGUUGUGCACCAUUACAAAAAUACUGCUAAGUUUCUUCUCUAUUACUCUUUACGGCUUUGGUAGUCUUUCAGGUGUGUCAAGACCCAUGCAGGAGUGAAGCAGAUACCUAAUACAAUCAAGACACCAUGGACUACCUUCUCCUGUAAAAAAGAAAAUUAAAUCAGUAACUUCAGACAUGUCAUAUGCAUCUCUAGUGUGUAUGUUUAAAAAAUGCACUUAAAAAGAAGAAACCAUGUAAAAAUCCUAUGUAUUCUGAGUGCCUAAUAAUGAAUCUCAUGCAAAA